Myzus persicae (green peach aphid) is the source of this 2622-nucleotide RNA transcript. It is a transcript of the gene named zinc finger and BTB domain-containing protein 8A.1-B-like, with no coding region annotated. The record is from RefSeq and is a predicted model, not a curated record. Lineage: Eukaryota; Metazoa; Arthropoda; Insecta; Hemiptera; Aphididae. The transcript is spliced from 4 exons.
ACAAUAUUGUAUGGCGAAUGGUGAUCCGUUGUUAUCAUUAUGUUUGAGUUUCAGUACUAUUUUUUCGAUUUUGUCUUGUUAAAUUUCGGUUUUUAUCGGUUCUUAAUGCAAUUUUGUAUUUGCUGCUAGGUGUGCGAACGCGUAUUUUCAAUUUUGUAUUUUUAAAUAUUAAAAGUUCGUUUUGUGUAUGCAGGAUUAUUGAACAUCGACUGUUUAAAUAAUCGAGUGAAGUGGUUGUUUACAUACUGUUUUUUUUUUAAUUUUGUAGUGUUUUGUGGUUAUUAACUCUUAUAUUAUAUAUGAUUAAAUUAUGUAUAGUAUAGCGCAAAUUAGAACAUGAAUACUUAAUUAAAACAAUGCUUUUAAAUUAAUUUUGGUUUGUAUCCAUUUAUAAAAGUUAAGUGUCGUUAGCAACUCUUCCCGUUAAUGUAAUAAUAAGUUAUAUGAUAAUUGAUAAUAGGUACUUGUUACUUUGAUUCAAUUAAAAUUCAAUAUGCCCUUAAAAUGUUUAAGAACUAAAGGUUAUAAUAGAUUGAUCUGAAGGCUUAUUAAUGGUUAAUCUUAGACAAAUCACAAAAUUCAUUGUUAUUAUCAACAAUUGUAUAUUCGGAUAGCCGAAAUGUGUUGUUACAUUAAAAUUGGUAUAAUUAUAUACUCAUAAAUUUCACUUACCAACUUUAAAAUGUUUUUUUAUAUUCUGUGAUUAAUUUUAUGGGCAAGUUCAAAAGUUAAAUUAAUUUUUAAUUUUUUUUGAUGUAUUUAGGUUUUUAUUUUUAUCAGUUUUGUUUUUCAUCAUAAUAGAUAGGUAAUGUAGUCUAGGGUAUAUGAGGUGACCAUAUUCAAUUUCAUAAAAUACAACAUCAGAAAUUCCAACAAGACAUAGCCAUUACUUUAGUUUAUCCCUGACUUUAUUUUACCAUUUCUGUAUGUUAAUUAUUUAUGAGUGAUUACUUUAUUAUAGACUAACUAUUAUGAAUAUCCAACAAAAAAAUUGAAUUAUUAAAAUUUAUUUUACUUAAGUUAAUUUUUGAGACGUUAAUAUAUUCAUUGUCGCCUUACCCGUGAGUAAUACUAUGUCCAAGAUAACAUUUUCCUUAACUUUUGGUUUCCAAACCGGCAUUUUACCGGUAUCCCAUGAUAAAUGGCUGCUGUAAUAACAGCUAGUCGUUAUAUUUACAAUUAAGUACUUAUAGAAUAUAUUAUGUCUCGUAAGCACAGUAAUACCUAUUGUAAUAUACCCAUUUAUAUAAUUUUUUAUUUAAGUUUUUGGCUUUAACUAUUAUUGGUGUUUACAUAUAUUUCCAAUUUUAUUUUAAAAAUAAUAUACUUUGAUGUGUACUUACCAAGUAUAAAGUUAAUCUUAUAGUACCUACAUUACCUAUAUUCCAAGUUAAGUAAUUUGUCUGUAUUUUUAAAUUGACUUAACUAUUCAAAUUUUUGCUAUUAAAUGAUUUAAAAGAUAUCUUAAUCAGUUUCAACAAAAAUUAGUUUUUGAAUUAAUAUCAAUCAUUGUUCUAGUUGGAUAUUUAUGUACUCAUAAUGUCAUUAAUAAUUUAGAAAAUCAAGUGUUUUUAUAAGUGUUAAUUUUAUGAAAAUGAAGUGCCUGUUGUCUGCUGUUAAUAGUCGGGAUAUGGCUAGCUACUAUUGUAACUACUGGCUAUUUUCUAUGUUCAAUUUCACAGUUACAAGUGAGAAAUUCGCAUAUUAAGUAGUGUAUCAUUGGUCAACACUAUUGAAGAAGUAAUUAUAUGCCCUCAAAAUUGCGGCAGAAGCUAUAAAAAUAUAUCUUGUCUAAACAAACAUUUAAAAUAUGAAUGCAAUAAAGCACCAAAAUUUAAGUGCAUUUUCUGCAAUAAAAGGUCUAAGCGGCCCGAUAAUUUAAGAACGCAUAUGCAAUUAGUGCAUCAUUAUUUUAAAAAAAUAACACUAUAUGAUUGUAGCUCUGAAGAUCCUGAUGUAUGAAAUCUAAAAUCAAGUCAGUGAAUCAAAUGAGCUGGGACGUGUUGGGAAUGUGCUCUCUCUAGUGUCAGCAUAUUUUGUAUAGAUAUUUUGUACACAGGCAUUGAUGUACUUACGUCUUGUUUUUGUUUGAUUAUUUAUGUUAAUAAUUUUUUUUUUUUGUGGUCCCAUUUGUUAUUAUAUUCAAUUUAUGAUACUAUAUCAUGCUCAUUGUUUUGGUACUUUUGAUUGAAGGCAUAUAAGGAAAAAAUAUAAAGAGUUUGCCCUAAAGGUUCACCUUACAUCAUUCUAUUUAUUUUUUAUAUUUAGAAAUUGUAUUCAUAUUUUACACUUGAAAAUAAAAUUGACAUGCAUAACUACUUAACCAAAUCUUCUUUUUAUACUCCAAUUUCUUAGCUUAGCUUGAAAGAAACAAUAUAAAUGAACUAGGUAUAUUAGAUUUGAAAUAGGUAUUUUUUUUCUGUUAUCAAAUUGUAUAGACAAAUUAACACAUAGUCUUAAAUCAAUAGAACACAUUUGAAAUUCUGCCUGCAAUUUACUAAAAUAAUGGUGCUUAGUUAAUGAUAGGUAUAUUUAAAUAAUGUAUUGGUUAUUUUUUAACUAUUUAUUUAUGUUUUGGAUGACAUUUAUUUUUUAGAAGAUUACAUAGAAAAAUCUUAUUUG